UUAUUACUCCCUCCGACCGAAAAUACUUGUCAUCAAAAUAGAUAAAAAGAUAUGUAUCUAGAACUAAAAUAUGUCUAGAUACAUCUCCUUUUAUCCAUUUUGAUGAUAAGUAUAUCCGGACGGAGGGAGAACAAA
Triticum aestivum (bread wheat) is the source of this 135-nucleotide non-coding RNA. Lineage: Eukaryota; Viridiplantae; Streptophyta; Magnoliopsida; Poales; Poaceae. The record is from Rfam.